RNAcentral lists this transfer RNA (73 nucleotides) under Anaerolineae bacterium. Its description in RNAcentral is "tRNA-Leu". It matches the Rfam family "tRNA". From Rfam's summary of the family: Transfer RNA (tRNA) molecules are approximately 80 nucleotides in length. RNAcentral also lists the same sequence under 1 other name. The record is from RNAcentral. Lineage: Bacteria; Bacillati; Chloroflexota; Anaerolineae.
GGGCCUGUGACCUAAUUGGCAAAGGUGCGCGGCUUAGACCCGCGUCAUGGGGGUUCGAAUCCUCUCAGGCCCA